Molecule: non-coding RNA, 120 nt
Filed under: anaerobic digester metagenome
Description: MOCO_RNA_motif
Rfam family: Molybdenum/Tungsten riboswitch aptamer (Moco RNA motif)
Source: RNAcentral
AUUAAAUCUGUUCUCCGAGUCUGGAUACCUAAAAUGAGAGGCAUUAUGGCGCCAGACCGAUAGGGUCCAUUGGGAAACGAAUGGGCCUCCCGUGUGGAAAGGAGCAACAAGUUUUUUGCU